CAAAUGACUUCCAACAAUGGAUAUCUUGACUCUCGUAUCGAUGAAGAACGUAGCAAAAUGCGACACA
This 67-nucleotide ribosomal RNA is filed under the name Arceuthobium hondurense. RNAcentral's name for it is "5.8S ribosomal RNA". It matches the Rfam family "5.8S ribosomal RNA", at positions 1 to 62 of the family's 154-position model. From Rfam's summary of the family: 5.8S ribosomal RNA (5.8S rRNA) is a component of the large subunit of the eukaryotic ribosome. It is transcribed by RNA polymerase I as part of the 45S precursor that also contains 18S and 28S rRNA. Lineage: Eukaryota; Viridiplantae; Streptophyta; Magnoliopsida; Santalales; Viscaceae. The record is from RNAcentral.